ACUGCUCAGUAACACGUGGACAACCUGCCCUUAGGUUGGGUAUAAACCCGGGAAACUGGGUAUAAUACCCGAUAGGUCUCGAUUGCUGGAAUGCAUCGAGAUUUAAAGCUCCGGCGCCUAAGGAUGGGUCUGCGGCCUAUCAGGUAGUAGUUGGUGUAGCGUACCUACUAACCUACGACGGGUACGGGUUGUGAGAGCAAGAGCCCGGAGAUGGAUUCUGAGACACGAAUCCAGGCCCUACGGGGUGCAGCAGGCGCGAAAACUUUACAAUGCUGGCAACAGCGAUAAGGGAACCUCGAGUGCCAGGUUACAAAUCUGGCUGUCGAGAUGCCUAAAAAGCAUUUCAUAGCAAGGGCCGGGCAAGACCGGUGCCAGCCGCCGCGGUAACACCGGCGGCUCGAGUGGUAACCGUUAUUAUUGGGUCUAAAGGGUCUGUAGCCGGCCGGAUAAGUCUCUUGAGAAAUCUGGCAGCUUAACUGUCAGGCUUUCAGGAGAUACUGUCUGGCUCGAGGCCGGGAGAGGUGAGAGGUACUUCAGGGGUAGGGGUGAAAUCUUGUAAUCCUUGAAGGACCACCAGUGGCGAAGGCGUCUCACCAGAACGGACCUGACGGCAAGGGACGAAAGCUAGGGGCACGAACCGGAUUAGAUACCCGGGUAGUCCUAGCCGUAAACGAUACUCGCUAGGUGUCGGCCACGGUGCGACCGUUGUCGGUGCCGCAGGGAAGCCGUGAAGCGAGCCACCUGGGAAGUACGGCCGCAAGGCUGAAACUUAAAGGAAUUGGCGGGGGAGCAC
RNAcentral lists this ribosomal RNA (793 nucleotides) under uncultured archaeon. RNAcentral describes it as "bacterial SSU rRNA". It matches the Rfam family "Archaeal small subunit ribosomal RNA", at positions 85 to 879 of the family's 1478-position model. The record is from RNAcentral.